UUUAUUUGAUUUCCUUCGGGACUGAUUAUUUUGUGACUGAGUGGCGGACGGGUGAGUAACGCGUGGGUAACCUGCCUUGUACAGGGGGAUAACAGUUGGAAACGGCUGCUAAUACCGCAUAAGCGCACGGCAUCGCAUGAUGCAGUGUGAAAAACUCCGGUGGUAUAAGAUGGACCCGCGUUGGAUUAGCUAGUUGGUGAGGUAACGGCCCACCAAGGCGACGAUCCAUAGCCGACCUGAGAGGGUGACCGGCCACAUUGGGACUGAGACACGGCCCAAACUCCUACGGGAGGCAGCAGUGGGGAAUAUUGCACAAUGGGCGAAAGCCUGAUGCAGCGACGCCGCGUGAGCGAAGAAGUAUUUCGGUAUGUAAAGCUCUAUCAGCAGGGAAGAUAAUGACGGUACCUGACUAAGAAGCACCGGCUAAAUACGUGCCAACAGCCGCGGUAAUACGUAUGGUGCAAGCGUUAUCCGGAUUUACUGGGUGUAAAGGGAGCGCAGGCGGUGCGGCAAGUCUGAUGUGAAAGCCCGGGGCUCAACCCCGGUACUGCAUUGGAAACUGUCGUACUAGAGUGUCGGAGGGGUAAGCGGAAUUCCUAGUGUAGCGGUGAAAUGCGUAGAUAUUAGGAGGAACACCAGUGGCGAAGGCGGCUUACUGGACGAUAACUGACGCUGAGGCUCGAAAGCGUGGGGAGCAAACAGGAUUAGAUACCCUGGUAGUCCAUUCCGUAAGCGAUGAAUUAUAGGUGGGGGGAAGC
RNAcentral lists this ribosomal RNA (758 nucleotides) under uncultured bacterium. RNAcentral's name for it is "bacterial SSU rRNA". It matches the Rfam family "Bacterial small subunit ribosomal RNA", at positions 63 to 831 of the family's 1533-position model. The record is from RNAcentral. RNAcentral also lists the same sequence under 1 other name.